RNAcentral lists this ribosomal RNA (911 nucleotides) under Bostrychia calliptera. Its description in RNAcentral is "partial 28S ribosomal RNA". It matches the Rfam family "Eukaryotic large subunit ribosomal RNA", at positions 1278 to 2145 of the family's 3401-position model. Lineage: Eukaryota; Rhodophyta; Florideophyceae; Ceramiales; Rhodomelaceae. The record is from RNAcentral.
GUGUGUAACAACUCACCUGCCGAAUGGAUUAGCCCUGAAAAUGGAUGGCGCUGAAGCGGGCAGCCGACACUGUGCCGUCUGGGCAAAAAAUAUUUUUAAAAAAGAGUGGAUCCAGAUGAGUAGGAGGAAUGUGGCGGUCGUAUUGAAGCGUGUGCGCAAGCAUGCGUGAAACGGCCGCUAGUACAGAUCUUGGUGGUAGUAGCAAAUAUUCAAAUGAGAACCUUGAAGGGCGAAGCGGGGAAGGGUUCCACGCGAACAUUGAUUGGGCGUGGGUGAGUCGUUCCUAAGCCGUGUGGUAAUGGGUAGAGAAACGGCGAAAGGGAAGCAGGUUGAUAUUCCUGCACACGGAUGUGGAUAUGCGGUGACGCACACUGGGGCGGUGAAGUCGUCGAUUGCACUGGGCAGAGAUUUCUUUUCUGUUUGACGGAGCCUGACUGUACGCUAUGGAAUCCGCUUGUCGGGAGAAAUAGGUAUGUCACGGCAAAGCGCCGGGUUUUUUUUCUGGCGUCCAGUUUGUGAUUGGCGGACCUUGAAAAACUGUCUGCUGGCAAAACACUCGUUGUUUUGUGUAAAAAAAUUCCACGCCGUAACGUACCGAUAACCGCAUCAGGUCCCCAAGGUGAACAGCCUCUGCUCGAUAUGAAAAAUGCAGGUGAGGGAAGUCGGCAAAUUGGACCCGUAACUUUGGGAAAAGGGUUGGCUCUAGUGCUGCGUAGGAGUGGUCACUGGUUGUAGCUGCGGAUUGUGGUGUUUUGUUUCAUUGUGAGGGCUUGCGGGCGGAAGAGUCUUCGGGUUUUUUUUCGCUCGCGCUUUUGCGGUGGAAUGAGGCGCCGUUUUUCGCGGUUCCUGGGGACGCCUACAGCAUGCAGCAAACUAGAACUGUAACGGACAAAGGGAAUCCGACUGUUUAA